AGAGUUUGAUCAUGGCUCAGGACGAACGCUGGCGGCGUGCUUAACACAUGCAAGUCGAGCGGAAAGGCCCUUCGGGGUACUCGAGCGGCGAACGGGUGAGUAACACGUGAGCAACCUGCCCCUGGCUCUGGGAUAGCUCCGGGAAACCGGGAUUAAUACCGGGCAUGACCUGCUCCUGCAUGGGAGCGGGUGGAAAGUUUUUUCGGCCAGGGAUGGGCUCGCGGCCUAUCAGCUUGUUGGCAGGGUAAUGGCCUACCAAGGCGACGACGGGUAGCCGGCCUGAGAGGGCGACCGGCCACACUGGGACUGAGACACGGCCCAGACUCCUACGGGAGGCAGCAGUGGGGAAUAUUGCGCAAUGGGCGGAAGCCUGACGCAGCGACGCCGCGUGCGGGAUGAAGGCCUUCGGGUUGUAAACCGCUUUCAGCAGGGACGAACCUGACGGUACCUGCAGAAGAAGCGCCGGCUAACUACGUGCCAGCAGCCGCGGUAAUACGUAGGGCGCGAGCGUUGUCCGGAAUUAUUGGGCGUAAAGAGCUCGUAGGCGGCCUGUCGCGUCCGCUGUGAAAUCCCGGGGCUCAACCCCGGGCGUGCAGUGGAUACGGGCUGGCUGGAGGCAGGCAGGGGAGAACGGAAUUCCUGGUGUAGCGGUGAAAUGCGCAGAUAUCAGGAGGAACACCGGUGGCGAAGGCGGUUCUCUGGGCCUGUUCUGACGCUGAGGAGCGAAAGCGUGGGGAGCGAACAGGAUUAGAUACCCUGGUAGUCCACGCCGUAAACGUUGGGCGCUAGGUGUGGGUCCCUUCCACGGGGUCUGUGCCGCAGCUAACGCAUUAAGCGCCCCGCCUGGGGAGUACGGCCGCAAGGCUAAACUCAAAGGAAUUGACGGGGCCCGCACAAGCGGCGGAGCAUGUUGCUUAAUUCGACGCAACGCGAGACCUUACCAAGCUUGACAUGUCUCAAAGCCGCGAGACGCGUGUCCGCAAGGGGGGUCAACAGUUGGUGCAUGGCUGUCGUC
This 1015-nucleotide ribosomal RNA is filed under the name uncultured bacterium. RNAcentral describes it as "bacterial SSU rRNA". It matches the Rfam family "Bacterial small subunit ribosomal RNA", at positions 8 to 1056 of the family's 1533-position model. The record is from RNAcentral.